Molecule: ribosomal RNA, 253 nt
Filed under: uncultured bacterium
Lineage: Bacteria
Description: partial 16S ribosomal RNA
Rfam family: Bacterial small subunit ribosomal RNA
Source: RNAcentral
UACGGGGGGAGCAAGCGUUGUUCGGAUUUACUGGGCGUAAAGGGCGCGUAGGCGGCGUGACAAGUCACUUGUGAAAUCUCCGGGCUUAACCCGGAACGGUCAAGUGAUACUGUCGUGCUAGAGUACAGAAGGGGCAACUGGAAUUCUCGGUGUAGCGGUGAAAUGCGUAGAUAUUGAGAGGAACACCUGCGGCGAAGGCGGGUUGCUGGGCUGAUACUGACGCUGAGGCGCGAAAGCCAGGGGAGCGAACGGG